GAUGAACGCUGGCGGCGUGCCUAAUACAUGCAAGUAGAACGCUGAAGCUUGGUGCUUGCACCGAGCGGAUGAGUUGCGAACGGGUGAGUAACGCGUAGGUAACCUGCCUCUUAGCGGGGGAUAACUAUUGGAAACGAUAGCUAAUACCGCAUAAAAGUCGAUAUCGCAUGAUAUUGAUUUGAAAGGUGCAAUUGCAUCACUAAGAGAUGGACCUGCGUUGUAUUAGCUAGUUGGUGAGGUAACGGCUCACCAAGGCAACGAUACAUAGCCGACCUGAGAGGGUGAUCGGCCACACUGGGACUGAGACACGGCCCAGACUCCUACGGGAGGCAGCAGUAGGGAAUCUUCGGCAAUGGGGGCAACCCUGACCGAGCAACGCCGCGUGAGUGAAGAAGGUUUUCGGAUCGUAAAGCUCUGUUGUAAGAGAAGAACGAGUGUGAGAGUGGAAAGUUCACACUGUGACGGUAACUUACCAGAAAGGGACGGCUAACUACGUG
This 497-nucleotide ribosomal RNA is filed under the name uncultured bacterium. RNAcentral describes it as "partial 16S ribosomal RNA". It matches the Rfam family "Bacterial small subunit ribosomal RNA", at positions 28 to 507 of the family's 1533-position model. The record is from RNAcentral.